CCAUGGGUAUCAGCUCUUUAAAAAUGUUUGGAAAAAAACAUAUCUUUAAUUUUCUUUUUACAAUGCAUGAACACAACGUUAUGCAGCCAAGGACAUUUAACUAUCGCUACUAAGGUCUUAUUAUUUAGAUGCACCCAAGGUUCAAAAAAUUUAUAAAAUUUACCAUCACAUCGAAUCAAUAAAUAUAGAUAAAAAAUAACUAACUAUAACUUGUGAGACGAAUCUUGUAAGCCUAAUUAGUUUAUGGUUAAUCAAUAAUUGUCAAAUACAAGCGAAAGUGCUACAAUAUCAAACUUCAAAAACUUAUGUAUGCAUGGAUAUUUAUGAAUGCAUUAAUUAUUAGAAAUGGUGAUCAAUCUCCCCGAGGGCGGAGCAGCCAUGGUGGAAACUCAUGCUACCAUGAAAUUAGAAAAGAAAUGAGUUAUAAGACGCAUGUUAUAUUGAGCCUCAAGCAAUAUAUAUAGAGAGAGAAUACAAAGGCUUUAGUACCACUCCAAUAUCCUGCCAACCAAACAUACUCUAACAAGAGUUUUAGUUCAAGACAACCUCGGUUCAAAAUCCUAGCAUCAUAAUUCAUAAACAGCAGACUUCACAAAGAUCGAGCAGGCUUAGAACACCCUGUAUGGUUUCCCCAUGGUGCUCUUGACGUAAAGGCAUCUCACCUGCAUAAGCAUAUAUCACAACAUGUUAUAACCAAGUCCUUCAGAUUAUAUUCUAAAAAAUGUUCGUUAGAUGUAAAACAAAACAGGUACAAUUAUUAAGGUAAAGAUGCAACAGUGACUAGAGCAUCACUCACAUUCUGCCAGUUCUUCUUCAGGAGGGACACAAGGAAGUUCACACUCAUUUGGAUGUUCUGCUGGAUCUGCUUCUCCUCCAUGGACAAGUUACCGACGGCGACACCCAUGCAGAGGACCUUCUUCAGCUGAAACUUGACAGUAGCCUUCGUCUCAUUCACCUUGGAUUCCAGGGACUCCUGGUGAGUAACAAGCGUAGGGAACUUGCCUGCAGUAGUGAUAUCAACAUGAUUCAAUCAGAAGGGCAGGAAAUGCAGACCAUAUCUAGCAAAAGCUCUCAGAUGCAUAGCUCCCAGAGUUUGAAAAUGUCAAAUAGCAACACUAAUAAAACAUUUUAAUAUUAACACAUUGCUUUGAGAAUGUCAAAAAGAAACAGUAAUAAAACAUUUUAAUAUUAACACAAUGACAGGACAUUGGCUUUCAACAAGUACUAAGUAAUUAAGUCAUUAUCAAUCUUUGCAGGUAAGACUAACAUAUAGGAGGAACGCUAAUGCAUACCAUAAACGAAUGAAAACAGAAAAAUCAUGCAAAACUACGCACAGAAAUAUGAAACAGCACUGCAUGUUACAAGCUUAGAAUGCAAAUAACAAUUAUGUCAGAAAUGGACUACUUGCCUGCCUUGUUAAGACCAGGACCAAGGAGACGGGGAAUCUGCUUGAUGAUGGCCUCUGAUGCCAAAAACGCAUGGUACUUCUUGGCAAGCUUCUUAACAAGCUUCUUGUUCUUGUUCAUUUUCUUGAGGGACUCAACAUCCAUGUAGUCAAGUCCCAUCUUCUCAGCCUGGAAAUGAAGUAAAAUGGUUUAUGUCAGGAAGAGUUGAUCCAAGGGCAAUUAUACUAUCUGAGCACUCACUCAAACUUCCGUACAGUUGAGCAGGAUUUGUACAUACAGAUUUUAAUGCAAAUGAAAUCAAGCGCAAGAUUGGACUGAGUCAUACAUGCCAGGCGAAAUUGAGUAAUUCAAAACAUUGGCGUUUUUUCUGUUCAACAAACUACUAGUGUACUACUGUAAGCAUGUUCAAUAUAUAAAUAAGUAGAUUUUCAAGCACACCAGCAACUGCCUGCUUACCUCCUCAACGUGCUGGGCAUCACCAAGCAUGCACACCUUCAUCUUUGGACGAGGGAUGUGGGGCAACUUAACAGAGCCACUGAAACGCUUGUCCUUCUGUGGAUCAUAAUUCUUCAGACCAAUCUGAAGCUCAACAGUCUCGGUGAACUUCCUAUUCUUCUCCUUGGCAUCCCCAACAAUCUGAGAGAUGGCAUCCUUGAGAACCUCGGACUGCAACUUACUGCAUUAAUAUCAGUGCACAGAAUUUAUUAGACAAAGAUAAUCUAUCUGGUUGGGAACAAUACUAGGGAGAAUUGUAGAAGGCAAAAACUGCAGAAUAAUCAAUCAUAAUAAGCAAACUAAGUGAAUCUAUAUCAUGUGUUGAGACAACAACCUGAAUCUAUCUCACAUCCAUUUUCAUUAUGUAAAUUGUGAACGAACUAACUGGAGCCAACACCCAAAGAAUCAGAUUGGACUUAGGCCUGCUAACGGGGUCUAACCUCAACCCAACCCAUAGCCUAUGAGUCAACUGGUCUAGACAACAACCUGAAUCUAUCUCAAAUCCAUUUUCAUUAUGUGAAUGAACUAACAGCUGGACCCGACUUUCAAAGAAUCAGAUUGGAAUAGGACUGCUAAUGGGGUCUAACCCCACCCCAACCCACAGCCAAUGAGUCAACCUGUUAUGUCCAACCCUACCCAAAAAUCUAAAUCAAGCACCCACCCCAACCUGCUCCGCAACACCCACCCGCCAUUUAACCCAUGGAGCAUGCUAACUGAUGCUCUCUGGUUGCUGAAAGAUCCAUCCCCAGGCUGUUCUAAAUCAUGGAGAAAACUAAUCCAGAUGAACAAAAAUAUAAAUUUCCAAGCAAGGCAUCCAAAAUCCAUCCUCUGAUAACACACAGCAGCGAUUUUAGAUGGUAGGAUACAAAUUUUUACUUUCACACAGUUUAUUGAAAAAAUUUGUUUCUUCAGAAAACAAGAGAAACUGUCACAGAAAAGCCAAACUGGAUGGCCAUUAGCAACGGCCAGCCAGCAUUAAAUCCUGCAUUUAUCUUGUUGUAGAAAAGAGCUCGAGAGCUGUGGUGGAAACCAUGUGAUCACAUCCAUAUCACAGUCACACCUCAUUUCCAAAUCAAUCACUAUUCCAGGAAAAAAAAAGAGCAAUGCAGCAGAAAAAAAAGAACCACUGCAGAGAUAGGUUAGACAAAUCGCUGAUGAAAGUGCACAGGAUGAGGGCUUGAUGGCAGUACUCCUCGCCUUCCAUGCAAGCUGCCAGCGGCAGCGUAUGGGAGGAGACGACUGACAAGAACAUCCUCUCCUGCACAGAGGCGUGCUCCUCCUACCGCCCUCCUCUACAGUGUAGUGGCCCUCCAGCAGAGGGCUGCCCACACUAGGCUCCGUGGGGGGCUGGUGCCACACCAGUAAUGCCACAGCUCAGCCUCGCCGCCGCCCACUUGAGCAGCAACACGGCCCCACCCCUGGCUCCCCACAGACACAGUAGGGGCUGACAAAACCCACUUACUGACCCGCCCCAACUCGCGUUUCUUGUAAACCCAACCCGUCCCGAUCCACGACAUAGUAAAACAAGUUUCCACUCAUUUACCCACAGCACAUAUUAGAACCCAUACCAAAAAAAAGGGUUAAUGCCGCCCCGUUAGCAGGUCUAGAUUGGAAAGACCACGGCUACAUCAAGCAUAAUAAACUAAUCAAAGCAUGAUACAAGGGGGCUCCUAGAUUUCUUAUCAUCCUUAAUAUAGCUUAUGAUAAUCAAAUGAAACACAACUCAAAUACCUAAGGCAUUGAUCUCCUAAAGGCAAGAUUGAAGAUCCCCUGUAGGACCAAAUCCUACCAUGGCAAUCGACGAGACAACUACAUAUCACUCAAAUCCUACACGAAAUCGGCAUUUCUACCGUACGAACCGAUGCACGACACAGCAGAUGCAACGAGAAGGGGAAAUCAGUAGUACCUCAUGGCUGCAACCGUUCACUCGACUCCCUGUAGAAGGAACAACAAAAAAACAGAGAGGGGUCAGAUACGGUGAAACGGACAACAGAUAGGGCACCGAAACAUGCGACUUCGCGAAUCGAGCCGUCAGCAAGAGAGGAGGCUGCCAUGGCACUGGAAGCAUACCUGCUAGGGUUUGGCCCGAGGCGAGCGACGGAGCGAGAGGGAAGGGACGGCGGCGCCGGGUGUUUAUAUACGAGCGGGGAGCGGUGUCGAAGCAAAACCCUAGAACGAGCUCCCGAUGGAUGACGCGUGUUAAUCUUGAGACCGCCAGAUGCGGGUACGGACGUUAUGGCCAUUGGGCCUCUUCAGGAUAUAUGUGGGCUAUGUUUGUGGCUUCGUCACUGUUCAUGGGCUUCAAUUGCGAUCACGUAAGGAAAAACUAUUUAAGGCCUUGUUUACUUUUAAAAAAAAAAAUCAAGAUUUCUCGUCACAUCAAAUCUUAAGACAUAUGCGUGGAGUAUUAAAUAUAGAUGAAAAUAAAAAUUAAUUACACAGUUUGCCUGUAAAUUGUGAGAUUAAUCUUUUGAGUUUAAUUAGUCCAUAAUUGAAUAAUAUUUGUCAAAUAAAAACGAAAGUGCUACACUACUCAAAAACACAAAAUUUGGGAACUGAACAAGGCCUAAGCUAUUUCUGCUAAAAAACUCUUAACCUAUCGUUGGCUCAAAAAAACUCUUAAGCUAUCGUCAUAGUUGGAUUUUCUUUCUAGAACUUUAAAAUUUUUAUAGGCAUUUCAUAUCCUCUAAACUCCCAAUACCAUUCAAAUUACCUCUUGCCAUGGAUUGAAGUGGUUUUGAAUGUGGUUUCAUCCAUUAUUAAUAAAAAUCCAGUAAAUACUUGAUUAUUUUUUAAACCAUAAACAUUGUCUUAAAAAUUCUAAAAACAUCUAAGAAAAUCCUAGAUAUAUAUUGGAUGUAAAAAAAUCCAAAUAAAAUAUUUAUACAUUGUCAAAAUAUCUCUAGAAAUUUUUAAUUUAACUCUAUAAAAAUGGGGAAAUAUCAAAAACUAGAAAAUUCUGGAAACAUGAUGAUUGGUAUAUAAAUGGGCUAUGACAAAAACAUGAGAUGCAAUCGACAUGAAUAUGACAUAUAUUAAUGUAAAAUGCAUUUAUGCUAUGCACUUUGUAAUGGUUGUGUGUUGUUUUUUUAGAAAGUUUUCAAAAUACAAUAAGACAUCAAUUAUAAUGAUUUGUGUUUUUUCUAUAUUUUUGGAUAUAUUUUUAUUUUCCUAGAAGUAAAUCUAUUUUUGGAAGCUGCUAAAUAUACGAGCGAGUUUUUUUUUUUUUUGAAAUUGUUGCAUUUAAAUUUAUGCCUAGGUUCGAAAAAACGCUUCUUUGUUUCAGGGUUAAGACGCUUCCUUCUAGAACAAAGCAAUGUGAAACAUGGUCUAUGGUAGAUAUAUCCACGAGUGGUGUCAAAGAGAGCACGAGCAAAUGAGGCCAUUUAAUCCUAAAAGAAGCCAGACUAGUAGAGAUGUACCCCAUCCAUCCCAAAUCAUAAAGUCAUUCCAACUAUCUUAGAGAGUCAAAUCAUCUCAAGUUUGUUCAAAAUUAUAGAGAUAAUUACAAGGAUUUAUGACAUUUUGUAUUAUAAAAAUAUAACUAAUAAAAAAUCUAAUAAUACUAUAAAUGUUAUUAUUUUAUUAUAUAAAUUUGAUCAGACUUGAAAUGCUUUGACGACUCUUGAGAAAGUUAUAUGACUUAGGGAUCCUUUGGAUUACAUGAUUUUUGAAGGAAAAAUAUUGGGGUGUACUGUUUAGUGAAGGAAAGUUUCCUAUCCUAUGGUUUGGAAGCACUACUAUUCCAUAGGAUUUCCUAUGCUAUGUGUAGAUUCCAUAGGAUUUGUAACAUCCACUCAUACCUCUUGGAAAAAUUCAUAUGCACCAAAUAUGAGGAGUUGAAUGCUGAUGCUAGUAACCAAUGGUCAAUUAUGGCUUGUUCUACCCAAACCCAAAGAGAGCAAACACAUGCAUUUGGUGUUAUUUUUAUUCAAUCUUGAUAUUUCUGCAAAAUGAAUCAUCACUUCUAUGUUUUACAUCCUUUGUUUUGCACAUGCAGCCCUAUAUUAUUUAUAUAUUUUUUCUAUUCCUAUAUUUUUUAAAUCCUACCUUCGAAAGGAGCCCUUAGAAUUUGGAACGAGGAGGUAUAUAGAAGGCGGUGCAUUAUUGACAUUGACACCACUCCACGCGUUGGUGAUUACGGUGUUUGGAUUCCUAUGGCUAAACUUUAGUCCAUGUCAUAACGGAUAUUUAGACACUAACUAGGUGUAUUAAAUUAAAAAUAGACUAAUUACAUAAAUGAAAACUAAUUCACAAGACGAGUCUAUUAAGUACAAAUAAUUCGUGAUUAGCCCAUAUGAUGCUACAACAAACAUGUGCUAAUCAUGACUUAAUUAGACUUAGGCCUUGUUUAGAUCCAAAAACUUUUUGGAUUUUGAUACUGUAGCAUUUUCGUUUUUAUUUGACAAACAUUAUCCAAUCAUGGAGCAACUAGGCUUAAAAGAUUUGUCUCGUGAUUUACAAGUAAACUGUGCAAUUAGUUAUCUUUUUUAUCUACAUUUAAUAUUCCAUGCAUUUGCCGCAAGAUUCGAUGUGAUGGGGAAUCUUGUAAAGUUUUGGGUUUUUGGGUGUAUCUAAACAAGGCCUUAAUAGAUUCAUCUCAUGAAUUAGUCUUGGUUUGCGUAAUUAGUUUUAUAAUUAGCUCACAUUUACUUCUCUCAAUUGUUAUCUAAACAUCCGAGUAAAGUUUAGGCCUUGUUUAGUUCACCUCAAAAACCAAAAACUUUUCAAGAUUUUCCAUCACAUCGAAUCUUGCGGCAUAUGCAUGGAGCAUAAAAUAUAGAUAAAAACAAAAACUAAUUGCACAGUUUAUUUGUAAAUCGUGAGACGGAUCUUUUAAGCCUAGUUACUAUAUGAUUAGACAAUGUUUGUCAAAUAAAAACAAAGUGCUACAGUGUCGAAAUUCAAAAAAAAUUGGAUGUAAACAAGGCCUUAGCACUUGCUAGGAAGGAAAGUGCUUGCCUGGCAGUAUGUUGAUCGUAAAUUAGGUGAUGGUCAGACACUGAGAAAACAGGUACUCGUAAUUCUAGAACCGAGAACCACGCGUGAUUGGCAAAGGCAGCCGGCGCAGGCACGCUAGCUGGGAACGCCGAAUAUGCGGCUUGCUUGUUGGGACGACCGGUGGCCGCCGCACCUUUGAUCCAUCUGCAUAUCUCAUCAGGCAUCUCGAUCGAUCGGCACAGUAUAUUCGGCCUAUCGUCAUCCAUCUGACAUUUUGACUAUCUCAUCCCACAUGUAAUGUCUGCGAUUGUCAUCGAGUAUUCCAAAUUAAUAAUCCUGUCAUUCGGCGACAAUCGGGCCGGGUGAUUAUUAUUAUGCACGUAGUCGAUCGAUCUAAUAUAUGAUAGAAUUACGAGAGAACAAGGCAUCUGUUGUGGAGAUAUACAUAUAUAUAGCUAAUAUAUAUAACUUCAUCGCCAUGUCCGCCAUGCGUCGUUGUCAUCAUCAUCCUCCUCCUCCUCCUUGAUUACUCUUGCUCCACUUACUCGUGCUAGCAAGCUCGUACAUGAUUGAUGAGCUACAGUUGCUGUGUGUAGUAGUAGUAGUUUUAGAGUUAUCAUGGAGCUGUUCGCUGAUCUGGAAAAUAAAUUAUUGUUGACUGAUUUAUUGUAAGAGAAAAACACUGUUCGCUGAUAGAAAAAAGUACGGCUGAAAAGAAAAGAGAACAGGCUUUCACAAAUUAUUAGUAGUUCUCAAUCAUAUAGCCAGCGGAAAAAGACACACAAGACACUAGUAUAAUACUAGAAUAUACGCAAUUAUUAUAUAUACUAUGUAUGUAUGUAUGUAUGUAUGUACGGAGCUUGCAUUGAUGCAGUGGUGUUGGUUGGCGAGGCUCGGCAGCCGCGGCGCUGUCGUCGUCGUGUACAUGUAGGUCCUCAACUCCUCAUUUAGUCAUGUGUUCCAUGCGCGGCGCGCGCAUCUCAUCUCCUUGUUCUUUGUUAUUGUUUGCAGCAUCGUAAUUAACAUUUCUUCCUUCAUCCGUCAAUCACCCACCACACACGCAUCAUCCGUCCGUCAUCUUCUCCUCCUCGCUGGCUGAUGAGAUGAUGAUGACAUCUAUAUAUCCAAGAAUAUGCAUGCCGCAUAAUGUGUGUAUCGACAAGAUCACCAUUUUUUGGACGCAUAAUAAUAUACUCUCAUGCACGUGGGUGUGGAUCGGCGUAUGAGAUUAUUGUCGGUCGAUUCCUGGUAAAUUUUAGUCACAUUAAUUCAUGCAUGGAGGGCCUCCCAUAGUCCCAGCUAUAAUGGACGAUACACGUACUGGAUUACUGUAUCGAUCACUGCAUCAUUAUUCUUUUUCUUGAUCCCAGUGUUCGUGACUUCGCUGUUUGGUUUUGUUUGGUGAAGUUUACCGUGUGCCACAUCGAAUAUUUAGACACGUGUAUGAAGUACUAAAUAUAGACUAUUUACGAAACUAAAAACACAACUAGAGAGAAAUUUAUGAGACGAAUCUUUUAAGCCUAAUUAGCUCAUGACUGAACAAUAAUUUUUAAAUAAGAUAAAAAUACUAUAAUAUCCGUUAAACUUUAACACCCCCUAACCAAGCACCCUCAAAGAGUGCCUUUCACGGUGUCAUCAUCAGAGAAAUAGUCAUCACGAGGCAUGUUGGAUUAUUUGAACUACUUGAAAUAGUGUUAUUUUUUAUAAUGUGUUAUUUUUUAUAAUGGUCAGAAAAGCAUUGGACUUUGGAAAAGAAACUUCAAAGAUGAACUUUACAUUGUGUGUACCAAAGCCAAAGCAACAAGCAGAAGCACCUUAACCAGUUUAUGGAGAGAUAGUUUUACUUAGUUAUUUCCUUGUUUUUGCUUUGGGCCUAGUUGCCUUGUACUUGCUCUUUGUACACAACAUUCUCUUGGGCAUCUUGAUCCUUUCAGAACGUAUCCCAUGUUCUAGUUUCUAAUUUUUGUGAAGGAAACAAGGAACUGAAACAUACAAUGUAUCAACUUUUUUUUUUGAAGGAAACGAGGAACUGAAACGUUUCGGAUUCAAGCAGCUGAACACUAUUUGGAGCUAUUUCUAGUGAAUCACAUGAGAGACGGAUCCGAUUCUAACAUCCAAACACAAUGCAGUGCAAGCAGUUACUUACAAUCUUACAGGCCUAAUCUGUAUGUAUUCAUCUCAAUCUAUAUGUGUUGAAGUGGAUUUGAAUGAAAUUCUACUCCAAUCCACUUCAAUACAUGUGAAUUGAAGUGGAUACACAUGCACCUAAAUAAGACCUUAAAAGGAACCAUAUAUCUCGUCCCAUCUUGGAUGAUUCCUCCAUGCAAACAAGCACAAAAGAUAGCAACCGAUCAAUACUUCCUACGAGCAUCAAUCUGUUCUAACUUAUGCAGUGCAUUGACCAAUGACCAACACCAACAGAGAUGAAAGAACAGAUGAGCUGAAUAUGCAGGCGCCCAACUACGGGUCACCGCUAGUGGUGAGCAGGAAAGUUGCUGGGGCAUUUAAGCUGUAUGUGACAUGCCUAUUAUCAUCGCUCAUAGUGUUGUUUGGUCGUGCCUGUCUGAAAAAAGAAGGAAUAGAGAGAAAAGACAAUCAUUGCACACAACAUUGGCGAAAUGGACCCAAAUGUGCUGGAUAAAAGACAAUAAUGACAUCUUCAAUAUAAUUACGAUGAAGGUCAAAGAUUGAAAAUAGGGAUGUGCAUAUGCAUGUAGGAAUGUGUUAGAUUUAAUGUGGACUUGUCCAAUAUUUUAAUUAAUUAGAUCGAAUAAAAUCCUAAAAUCUAGAUUAAAUAUUGCGUGCAUUAUAUGAUUUAGUCCUAUAUGGGAUUAUAGUUGAAUGUUAACUUGAUUUAUAUGUGUGGAUUGUGUUUGCCUACAUUGAUAUUGAGAAGUUGAGAAAAGAUGAAGGCGUGCCACACGCACGCAACUGUCAUUGCCGAGCUGAGCCCGACUCGAUGUGGUAUUAUAGUUGGUUUUGCCACUCAAGCCGGUUAAUGACACGAGUUGGAAGUUUUAGGAGUUUCCGCUUAUAAGGACAGCUGCUCAUGAUAACAGAAGUCGUGAGCAUCUCUUCUCUAUCUCUUGCAGCAGCAGCAGCAACAACAACAACAACAACAACAACAACAACAACAACAACAACAACAACAACAACACCACCACCACCACCACCAACAACAACAACAACAACAACAACACUACAAAAAAAAAAGAGAAAGAAGGGUCAGAUACGGUGAAAUGGACAACAUAUAGGGCACCGAAACAUGUGAUUUCGCGAAUCGAGCCGUCAUCAAGAGAGGAGGCGGCCAUGGCAAGCAUACCUGCUUAGGGUUUGGCCCGAGGCGAGCGACGGAGCGAGGCGAAAAGGGAAUUGAAACGGCGGCGCCGGGUGUUUAUAUAUGAGCGGGGAGCGGUGUCGAAGCAAAACCCUAGAACGAGCUCCCGAUGGAUGACGCGUGUUAAUCUUGGAACCGUCGGAUGUGCGGAUUCGGACGUUUUGGGCCAUUGGGCCUCUUCCAGAUGUAUGUGGGCCAUAUUUGUGGCUUUGCCACUGAUCAGGGCUUCCAAUAGUGACAUAAGGAAAAUGUGUUAUAGUCGAAUUUUCCUCAUAUAGAACUUUAAAAUCAAACAUUUUAACCUCUAAACUUUCAAGACUAUUCAAAUUACCUCCUGUGUUGAAGUGGAUUUGAACGUGGUUUCAUUCUAUUUUUCUUAAUAAAAUCCAAUAAACGUUUUUAAAAAAAUAUAGACUUGGCUCUACAAAAAUGGGGGAGGGGGUAUCCAAAAAAUCUAGUAAAUUCUAACAUCAUUAUGAUUGAUAUAUAAAGAGGCUUUAAAAACUUUAUAUGACAAAAAUAUAAGAUGUAAUUAGCAUGAAUGCAACAUAUUUUAAUGUUGAAUGCAUGUAUGCUUUGCACUUGCGAUGGUUUUGUCUUAUGUUUCUUGUUGUGGAAAGUUUCAAAAAUGCAUUUAUACAUCGGUUACAAUGAUUUGGGAAUUUUCCGUAUUUUUAGAUUUAUAUAUUUCUGUUUUCCUAGAGCUAAAAUCUAUUUCUUGGAAGAUGCUACAUAUAUGAGUUCUAAAUAUUUUAUUAGAAUUUGUUGUAUACUAAUUUAUACCUAUAAUUUUUAUCGGAAUUUUUAGAAACUUAAGGACAUUUUUCCAUGUUUAAAUAUAGGGUUUGUAAAAACACAACAACAAAUGUGCGUGAUCCUGAUAGGUAAAAUAGGAAAAGAAGCGUAAACAAAAUACAAUGACUGAUGUAAGUUAUUGUUUGAUUUGAUUAGCUGGAUGCAGCAAAUUCAUUUUAUAUAUAGAGAGGUGUGAGUUUCCCUAUGGAUUUCGAUCAUGUCCGGCUGCUUUACCAUGUCUAAGUCCUUGUUUUUUAAACUUCGAUUAAUAACAUGUUGUUUACAUAUAUAAUAUAAAUAAUAUAAUAAAAAAGACAGCAUUUUGCUUCCACAUUUAUGGAGAGAAAGAGCGAUUUUGGGUCGUGGAAAAUAUCUGAGUUCCGAACUGGAGUUUGCAGAAAAGAUAAAAAGAACUUGAUUCUUUUUUUGCUAAACCAACACUUUUAAGAAUCAGACUACGUAUUAUCGCUAGACAUGUUGUUUUACAUACCUCAGUACAUAUAGUUGUAGAUUAGAAUUCCUAUUCAAGUUAUUUAUGAUCAGAGUUCUAUUAGAAUUAGGAUUUCUAACUACGUAAGUUACCUCAUCUAUACCUAUAUAUAUAUAUAUAUAUAUAUAUAUAUAUAUAUAGAGGCAAAAUUUCAGCCUCUUUUUUGGUUGGAUUUUUUUUCGUCUGGCCAGAUUCUUAUAUGCACUCGCGUUCCAUCGCUGCCAGCGCACUUGUUGCCUCACGCCCGCUCCCGUCCCUGGCUCAUCCCCCAGCCGGCGGAGCCUAGGCGAGGAUGGGAACAGCGCGCUCGCUCAGGCAGGCGGGCCAUCGACGCUUGCCCCGGCGGCGGCCCAUCCUGCUGCGCUCGAGGAGGCCCAGGCGGUGCAUCUUAAGGAGGACGCUGUCAGAAACGCGGAGGCGCGCAAUGACGAGCAGAUCCUCGAGAACAGCGUUGUAGUGCGCCGUGUCGAUCUCGGCGGCGGCGGCGGCGGAGCCCCAUGGCACGGCAACAGUAAGGAAGAUCAAGGUGCUACAACGGCAACGACGUCCAGCUUUGUUGGUCGUGGCAGCAACAGCAAGACGGCAGCCCAAUCACCUUGGUCACGGCGACAACUUUGUUUCUUCCCCAAUCACCUACACUUAAUUUGUUUGCCAAUCUCUUGCUAUAGAGUUCUUCCUAAUCGUUAGAAGAUGUUUCCGUUUCUUCCCCAAUCAUCUGCUGCUAUAUAAUUUCAUAGUGUGUGGCCAGAAUAUGCAAAGCUUUUGACUCCUGGAUAAAUAGAUAGAUAAACUGGUCAGAAUAUGGAUUGCAAUGACCUGCUGAAUAAGUUCAAUUGCUAAUUUCCCUAUAACUAAGUGCAUUUUUGUUUGCUCAAACCGUGCUGCAAGAAAAAAUAUGGGACCUACAUUCUAUUAUCAAUAAGUACUCUCUGUUAUGAACCUAACAUCAGAAAUCAUGAAUUGCUGCUGUCAUUUGAUAAUUUUCAGUUUACCAAACCAAGUACUACCUUGUUUUUCAGAUUCUGAAAAUAGAGAGCAUGCAUGUGUAACGGUUGUGUCAACUUACUUUGAAUUAUGUAUCCACUAUGUGGUUUCUAUUAGGCAUGAUAGGCAUUCAAGAAUCUAAUAGGUUUCUGUUAGGCAUGAAAAUUAGACAAACUGCUAAAGUGUUUUAGAGAAGUAGAGCAGUCUUGAAUUGUUCCUACUGAAAGCACUAUGACUUUGAUGUUGCUUGGUAGUGUUCAUUUUCAUAUAACUAGGCAACUGAAUUAGCAGUAUGUAACUUAUGUGCAUCAUUUUGAAACUUAAUGGCUUUGUGAACUAUUUUUUGUAGGGAUAAAGAUUAUGUGCCCAUAAACUGUUUCAUGUGGUGUUCAUAUGCUGAACUGGAUGUAAACCUUGACAAAGUGGUGUUCAUAUUGUGGUCACUAAAUUGAGAUGAUUAUCAACUGUUAUGCUUCACCUGAACUGUACACUGUGUCUAUAACAAAUCGAUGAAUGGACGACACCUACUCACGAUCUUAAGAUGUUCACGUUGCUGGCCCUAGAGCUGGAGGAAUUUACGGUCUCCAAUCAGCCAUAUUUGAAGGUUUAUUCUGGUGGAGACCUGUCGUGUGUGGCGAACCUCAAGAUUGGCCCGUGGUCACACAUGCAUGGCUACUCUGAUUACGAUGACAUGAACACUAAGCUUUUACCUCAUUCAGCGUUGCAGGUUCACCCGAUGUGCCUUGUUGAGCGUCUUGAAAUUCCACAGGUACGUGUAUACAUGCAUGAUAACAUAUGUCAUGAUAGUGGCCUACAAACUCGUCGCAAACUAAUAAAACACUACAAGGGACGAACCAAAUGUAAACCAGCCCGGCCAUAUAAAUCUCAGUUUGAUUGUCCUUUAGAGAGGGCGGUCAGGUUCUUUGAUGCCUCAUCUGUCACAUACUCAUAUUUGAACCAUUGAUCCACCCAUAAGAAAUAAAGAUUUCUACUGCUAAAUUGUGAUGUAAUUUUGAUUAGAAAUUUUAUUAAAAGCUAGAUUAGCUAAAGGUUCAACUGAUAAAAUCCACCCAUAAGAAAUAAAGAUUUCUACUGCUAAAUUGUGGAUGUAAUUUUGAUUAGAAAUUUUAUUAAAAGCUGGAUUAGCUAAAGGUUCAACUGAUAAAAAAUAUGAAUUGAAAUAUUAAGUAGGUUUUUGUCUAAUCCAAUUUAAAUAAAUGUAUAUCUGGAAUCUCCUGAUAAGGACUAGCAUGUGAAAAAUCUAGAGAGGUCUUCUGUCAUAAUCACCAGAGGACAGAUCAAUCCUUGACAUGUUUGCAUAACUCCUUGUCGACAUUAAUCAUAGAUCAAAUACGUAUAUUUGUGGGUCCUAAAAGAUCACAAAACUCGAUAUUUUAACUAAAGGAACACAUGAAUAGUAUAAAAAUUAAUUAAAGUUAUUGUUUAUUGCAUCUAAAUAUUUAUGCGCUUUGCAAUAGGAGAAAAAUCCAUCAAAAAUAUAUUUUAAUUUGAUAGAGGCUUAGUAUUGUCAUAUUGUCGCUGACAUUAACUUAUAUUAUGGAUGUCAUGGUCAUAACAAAAUAAAUUAUAGCCUUCAAGUUUUAUGGAGUGAAACAUAAAUAAUAUAUAUAUCGGUCCUAUCGUCGUUUUUAUGAACAUGUUAGUUUUUUUUCUCCCGUCGCAACGCACGGGCAUGUUUUGCUAGUAUCAUAUAAAAUAGGAAUAGCUCUAGGCUGAUACAAAAUAGGAGGGAUCUAGAAUAGAUAUAGAUAUGAUGAAAAAGAAUAAAGCUGACCGGUUAAACUCCAAUCCGGAGCAUCUAAUAUGUAAACUGAUGGCCUCAAGCGGAGAGCCCGCUCCUCGCCGGCUUGCCUCUCCUCUGUUGAGACAGUGGUUGUUUGUGGCGUAGUUGAGGAGAGAAGAUGAGGUCGAGGAGGUAACGCUGAGGGAGGUGAAGGCAGCACGUCUUGUGCUCGCGCCGAGCUUGGCCCGUGUGAAGCGAGAGAGGAUUCUAUGAUGCAGCAUCUUAGAUGCUUUAAUCACCCGUGCGAGCCGGCCUCCUAAGAGCAACUCCAGCAGUGGCACCUAAAUCAGGGCCUCUACUUUUGAUUUGGGUGCUGCCUCCUAUUUUUAUUGGCUCAUAUUUUUGAUUCUACUCCAACAACGCCCCCCAAAUUGAGGCCCUCAAACCUAUUUCGCCAGACAAUGACAAAUGGGACCUGUUUGUCAUUGUCUCUUCUUCCUUUGUACAUGGAGCUCGCCGGAGAUGGAUUCGACUGGAGCUUGUGCUCGAGCUUGAGGGGCGUCGCGUCCGCACGGCGGAGUAGGGUCUCGCACGGCAGGGGGCAGCGCAACCACACGGCAAGGGGCGUCGCGCCCGCGCGGCGGAGCAGGGCUCCAGCAGUGGGGCAGCGCGAUUGCGGGCGAGGGACAGUGCGCCCGUGCCGUGGAGCACGAGCUCACACGUCGGGGGGCGCCUACACCGAGGGAGAAGAGCUCGCGCCGAGGAGGGAGUGGCGCACAGGGAGCCCACGCGGCGGAGAGCGGCAGGGUCGCCGGUGAUGUCGUGGGGAAGAGAGCUCACCAGCCGAGGAAGGUGGGCCGCCGCGCCAGACGUGAGGCGGAUAGCCGCGCUCAUCGGAUGGGAGGGAGACGCGCCCGAGCAGAGAAGACCGUACGACGCGGGGCUGAACGAGCAGAUGGGGGCCGGUUUGUUGGGCCAACAGGAAUUGGGGCUGCAGAGAGGAUUUGGGGUCCCAACUAAAUAUAUUGGAGCUGCAGGGAGGAUUUGGGGUCCCAACUAAAUAUGAAGUCUUGAGUAGAGAUCCUGCUGGAGUAUGAUUUUUGACCUGAGCAUCCAUAUUUAGCUAUUAAAGCUUAAAUAGGGACUCUGCUGGAGUUGCUCUAACUGCGUCUAGUCAAAGAAGGCAGGUUGCAGUUGCAACCGGCACGGUGGCCCGAGUGGGCCAGCGAAACAAACGCACCCUAAAAAGUCAAGAGCAUGCGCCUUGUUCAUUUAGGUUUAUAAACCGAAUAUGUCAGCGAUUGAUUCAGCAGUGUUUUUCUUUUAAAAAAAAAUUCUUAAAAAAUCAGCUAAAAAUACUUUCUGCCAUGGCUAUCAGCUCUUUAAAAAUGUUUGGAAAAAAACAUAUCUUUAAUUUUCUUUUUACAAUGCAUGAACACAACGUUAUGCAGCCAAGGACAUUUAACUAUCGCUACUAAGGUCUUAUUAUUUAGAUGCACCCAAGGUUCAAAAAAUUUAUAAAAUUUACCAUCACAUCGAAUCAAUAAAUAUAGAUAAAAAAUAACUAACUAUAACUUGUGAGACGAAUCUUGUAAGCCUAAUUAGUUUAUAGUUAAUCAAUAAUUGUCAAAUACAAGCGAAAGUGCUAUAAUAUCAAACUUCAAAAACUUAUGUAUGCAUGGAUAUUUAUGAAUGCAUUAAUUAUUAGAAAUGGUGAUCAAUCUCCCCGAGGGCGGAGCAGCCAUGGUGGAAACUCAUGCUACCAUGAAAUUAGAAAAGAAAUGAGUUAUAAGACGCAUGUUAUAUUGAGCCUCAAGCAAUAUAUAUAGAGAGAGAAUACAAAGGCUUUAGUACCACUCCAAUAUCCUGCCAACCAAACAUACUCUAACAAGAGUUUUAGUUCAAGACAACCUCGGUUCAAAAUCCUAGCAUCAUAAUUCAUAAACAGCAGACUUCACAAAGAUCGAGCAGGCUUAGAACACCCUGUAUGGUUUCCCCAUGGUGCUCUUGACGUAAAGGCAUCUCA
Molecule: long non-coding RNA, 16218 nt
Filed under: Sorghum bicolor (sorghum)
Lineage: Eukaryota; Viridiplantae; Streptophyta; Magnoliopsida; Poales; Poaceae
Description: long non-coding RNA (SBIC_LNC013326)
Source: RNAcentral